This 323-nucleotide ribosomal RNA is filed under the name uncultured eukaryote. Its description in RNAcentral is "partial 18S ribosomal RNA". It matches the Rfam family "Eukaryotic small subunit ribosomal RNA", at positions 1470 to 1796 of the family's 1831-position model. The record is from RNAcentral.
CCCUUAGAUGUUCUGGGCUGCACGCGUGCUACACUGAUAUUGCCAAUAUGUCAUUCUUAUCCGAAAUGGAUUGGGUAAUCAAGUAAUGAAAUUUCAUGCUUGGAAUCGGUAAUUGCAAUUUUAUCGUGAACGAGGAAUUCCUAGUAAGCACUAGUCAUCAGCUAAUGUUGAUUAUGUCCCUGCCCUUUGUACACCCCGCCCGUCGCUACUACUGAUUGGGUGUUCAAGUGAGAUGCUUAGACCCUUGUUGCAUGGUUCAUUAUUGUGCUCCGAAAGGAAAAAGUUUCAAGCUUGAGUGUCUAGAGGAAGUAAAAGUCGUAACA